UGUUGACACUUUUGGCCCCUAUAGUUUACAAUACUUCACUUUUGUGCAAUUUCCGCGUCGUAUGAUCCAUGAACCAUCCGUUAAAGGUUAUAAACAUUAUGUGGGGUUAUCAUAGAGCCUAUUUAUCCAUUGUUGACACUUUGGACCCUUACGUUCCAUAGUUUUCACUGUUUGUCACUUUUAGUCCCUCUAAAGUAUGUUUUCACAUAACGGAACCUUAUGACACGUGCCAAGACAUUAUUGGACGAAAUUUUUCGAGGUGUUACAAAAAGUAAAUGA
This 279-nucleotide long non-coding RNA is filed under the name Helianthus annuus (common sunflower). RNAcentral describes it as "hypothetical non coding rna". Lineage: Eukaryota; Viridiplantae; Streptophyta; Magnoliopsida; Asterales; Asteraceae. The record is from RNAcentral.